AUUGAACGCUGGCGGCAGGCCUAACACAUGCAAGUCGAGCGGAUGAAGGGAGCUUGCUCCUGGAUUCAGCGGCGGACGGGGGAGUAAUGCCUAGGAAUCUGCCUGGUAGUGGGGGAUAACGUCCGGAAACGGGCGCUAAUACCGCAUACGUCCUGAGGGAGAAAGUGGGGGAGCUUCGGACCCCGCGCUCUCAGAUUAGCCUAGGUCGGAUUAGCUAGUUGGUGGGGUAAAGGCCUACCAAGGCGACGAUCCGUAACUGGUCUGAGAGGAUGAUCAGUCACACUGGAACUGAGACACGGUCCAGACUCCUACGGGAGGCAGCAGUGGGGAAUAUUGGACAAUGGGCGAAAGCCUGAUCCAGCCAUGCCGCGUGUGUGAAGAAGGUCUUCGGAUUGUAAAGCACUUUAAGUUGGGAGGAAGGGCAGUAAGUUAAUACCUUGCUGUUUUGACGUUACCAACAGAAUAAGCACCGGCUAACUUCGUG
Molecule: ribosomal RNA, 484 nt
Filed under: uncultured bacterium
Lineage: Bacteria
Description: partial 16S ribosomal RNA
Rfam family: Bacterial small subunit ribosomal RNA
Source: RNAcentral